GAUGAACGCUGGCGGCGUGCCUAAUACAUGCAAGUCGAGCGAACAGAUGAGGAGCUUGCUCCUCUGACGUUAGCGGCGGACGGGUGAGUAACACGUGGAUAACCUACCUAUAAGACUGGGAUAACUUCGGGAAACCGGAGCUAAUACCGGAUAAUAUAUUGAACCGCAUGGUUCAAUAGUGAAAGACGGUUUUGCUGUCACUUAUAGAUGGAUCCGCGCCGCAUUAGCUAGUUGGUAAGGUAACGGCUUACCAAGGCAACGAUGCGUAGCCGACCUGAGAGGGUGAUCGGCCACACUGGAACUGAGACACGGUCCAGACUCCUACGGGAGGCAGCAGGAGGGAAUCUUCCGCAAUGGGCGAAAGCUUGACGGAGCAACGCCGCGUGAGUGAUGAAGGUCUUCGGAUCGUAAAACUCUGUUAUUAGGGAAGAACAAAUGUGUAAGUAACUAUGCACGUCUUGACGGUACCUAAUCAGAAAGCCACGGCUAACUACGU
RNAcentral lists this ribosomal RNA (496 nucleotides) under uncultured bacterium. RNAcentral's name for it is "partial 16S ribosomal RNA". It matches the Rfam family "Bacterial small subunit ribosomal RNA", at positions 28 to 506 of the family's 1533-position model. The record is from RNAcentral.